Molecule: long non-coding RNA, 599 nt
Filed under: Homo sapiens (human)
Lineage: Eukaryota; Metazoa; Chordata; Mammalia; Primates; Hominidae
Description: non-protein coding lnc-JARID2-4:1
Source: RNAcentral
AACUUUUUUUAAGUUGUAAGUGCAGUUUUUUUAUUUUGGUAGUUGUUGCGGCUGGGUUUGUUUGUUUUGGUUUUGGCAGACGCAUUCUUAUAGAACAGUAGAGCCCUGCUCUAGAUUUCUUAGAAAGUACUUCUGUCUCUCUCCUCAUUCAGCCCCAGGACUAUCACACUCCCCAACAAGGAGGGGAGCAUCACAAGGAAGGGAGUUGAUAUGGUGAGGCUGGCCCUGACCAGGAAGGAGCAGCUGCUGGGAAGCUGGAUGCUAAGACCCUCCCAGCCUACCAGGAUGCUAUGGGCAGAAUGUUUGUGUCCCCAGGAAGAGAGCCCCCACCAGAACCCCACCAUGCUGGCACCUUGAUCUCAGACUUCCAGUCUCCAAAACUGGGAGAGAUAAAUUUCUGUGGUUUAAACCACCCCAUCUGUGGCAUAUUAAUAUGAACAUCCUUAUAUGUUUCUCCCUACAGACCAGCGUGAAAACUCUUUGGGAUAUGCAUCUAGUUAUGAAAUAGCGGGGUCACAGUUUAUGCAGGUAUUUAAUUUACCUGAGUAGUACCAGAUUACUCAUGAAAAUGGCUACAUGUCAGUACUAGACUCUUACCC